AUGCAUAGGAAAAAGAGCUCUUUAGAAGUACUGUUCACACAAGUGGUCGGAGAGUUUUUGGUGAAAAACUUUGGUGCCAAGGCAGGAGCUUUUAUCUUCCGCCGCUUUCUCAAACAUACAACCAUCAUACUUUCAAAUGCUCUUGGACCCGUUGAACAUAUGACGUUAUGUGGGCACCCAGUUGCCUUCAUGGCACCUAGCAUCUAUGGCCAACCACAAGCUUUAACCGUGCACUACUAUAAUUAUGGUAGUGAUAUCAAGGUAGUUAUGGCAGUUGAUGAAGCACAUUUUCCAGAUUGUCAUCGACUUUUGGAUGAUUUUUCCGAGUCCAUUAGGAUCAUUAAGAAUGCGGCAGCCCUCAAGAUGUUGAAAACAUCAAUCCAUAAUAGCAAGACCGAGUGA
RNAcentral lists this ribosomal RNA (402 nucleotides) under Triticum aestivum (bread wheat). RNAcentral's name for it is "partial small subunit ribosomal RNA". The record is from RNAcentral. Lineage: Eukaryota; Viridiplantae; Streptophyta; Magnoliopsida; Poales; Poaceae.